CGGCGGACGGGUGAGUAACGUGUGGGCAACCUGGCCCUGUACUGUGGAAUAAUCACUGGAAACGGUGACUAAUACCGCAUGUCAUCACGAGGAGGCAUCUCCUUGUGAGAAAAGGAUUUAUUCGGUACAGGAUGGGCCCGCAUCUGAUUAGCUAGUUGGUGAGAUAACAGCCCACCAAGGCAACGAUCAGUAGCCGACCUGAGAGGGUGAUCGGCCACAUUGGGACUGAGACACGGCCCAAACUCCUACGGGAGGCAGCAGUGGGGAAUAUUGCACAAUGGGCGAAAGCCUGAUGCAGCAACGCCGCGUGAAGGAUGAAGGGUUUCGGCUCGUAAACUUCUAUCAAUAGGGACGAAAAAAAUGACGGUACCUAAAUAAGAAGCCCCGGCUAACUACNGUGCCAGCAGCCGCGGUAAUACGUAGGGGGCAAGCGUUAUCCGGAAUUACCUGGGUGUAAAGGGAGAGUAGGCGGCAUGGUAAGUUAGAUGUGAAAGCCCGGGGCUUAACCUCGGGAUUGCAUUUAAAACUAUCAAGCUAGAGUACAGGAGAGGUAAGUGGAAUUCCUAGUGUAGCGGUGAAAUGCGUAGAUAUUAGGAAGAACAUCAGUGGCGAAGGCGACUUACUGGACUGAAACUGACGCUGAGGCUCGAAAGCGUGGGGAGCGAACAGGAUUAGAUACCCUGGUAGUCCACGCCGUAAACGAUGAGUUGCUAGGUGUCGGGGGGGAACCCUCGGUGCCGCAGCUAACGCAAUAAGCACUCCACCUGGGGAAGUACGACCGCAAGGUUGAAACUCAAAGGAAUUGACGGGGGCCCGCACAAGCGGUGGAGCAUGUGGUUUAAUUCGAAGCAACGCGAAGAACCUUACCAAGGCUUGACAUCCCUCUGAUCGGUGUAGAGAUACACCUUCUCUUCGGAGCAGAGGUGACAGGUGGUGCAUGGUUGUCGUCAGCUCGUGUCG
Molecule: ribosomal RNA, 960 nt
Filed under: bacterium Iso11_2
Lineage: Bacteria; Bacillati; Bacillota; Clostridia; Eubacteriales
Description: bacterial SSU rRNA
Rfam family: Bacterial small subunit ribosomal RNA
Source: RNAcentral